CGCCCAAUAGCUAGCCCACCCAUCAACCCCAAAACCCACCCUAUCUCUACCCCCAAACACACCACCACCCAACAAACAAACCAUUUUUCCACCUAAGUACGGGCGACGAAAAAGGACCUAGGAGCAACAGAGAAAGUACCGCAAGGGAAAGCUGAAAGAGAAGUGAAACAACCCAGUAAAGCACUAAAAAGCAGAGACCACCCCUCGUACCUUUUGCAUCAUGAUUUAGCCAGAAAACCUUAAGCAAAAAGCAUUAUAGUUUAAUACCCCGAAACUAAGCGAGCUACUCCAAGGCAGUCUAAUUUAUAGGACCCCCCCGUCUCUGUGGCAAAAGAGUGGGAAGAACUUUGAGUAGAGGUGACAGACCUACCGAGCCUAGUUAUAGCUGGUUGCCUGAGAACUGAAUAGAAGUUCAGCCCUUUAAAUUCUCCAUUCCCCUUGGCCCAAGGCCUCCAUACCGAACAAAAGAAGUUAAAGGAGUUAGUCAAAGGGGGUACAGCCCCUUUGAAACAAGAUACAACUUUCCAAGGAGGGUAAAGAUCACAACAAACCUAAAGGUUUAAUGUCCUAGUGGGCCUAAAAGCAGCCACCUACCUAGAAAGCGUUAAAGCUCGAACAUUAUACUCCAACCUUUUAAUAAGGACAACACAAUCUUACCCCCCUAAAUUCUACCAGGCCGUUCCAUAAAGAUUAUGGAAGCGUUUAUGCUAAUAUGAGUAAUAAGAGAAGCCCCCUUCUCUCCCCGCACAAGUGUAACUCGGAACGAACCAUUCACCGACCAUUAACGGCCCCAAAAUAAAGAGGGCACUAGACAAAAAAUAAACAACUAGAAAACCACCUAGCCCCCCACCGUUAACCCCACACUGGUGUGCCAACUGGGAAAGACUAAAAGAAAAAGAAGGAACUCGGCAAACACAAGCCUCGCCUGUUUACCAAAAACAUCGCCUCUUGUACCCCAAACAUAAGAGGUCCCGCCUGCCCUGUGACUAUAA
This 992-nucleotide ribosomal RNA is filed under the name Oreochromis tanganicae. RNAcentral's name for it is "partial 16S ribosomal RNA". The stretch from base 189 to 992 matches the Rfam family "Bacterial large subunit ribosomal RNA", at positions 568 to 1875 of the family's 2925-position model. Lineage: Eukaryota; Metazoa; Chordata; Actinopteri; Cichliformes; Cichlidae. The record is from RNAcentral.